CGUAGGGUGCGAGCGUUAAUCGGAAUUACUGGGCGUAAAGCGUGCGCAGGCGGUGAUGUAAGACAGAUGUGAAAUCCCCGGGCUCAACCUGGGACCUGCAUUUGUGACUGCAUCGCUAGAGUACGGUAGAGGGGGAUGGAAUUCCGCGUGUAGCAGUGAAAUGCGUAGAUAUGCGGAGGAACACCGAUGGCGAAGGCAAUCCCCUGGACCUGUACUGACGCUCAUGCACGAAAGCGUGGGGAGCAAACAGGAUUAGAUACCCUGGUAGUCCACGCCCUAAACGAUGUCAACUGGUUGUUGGGUCUUUACUGACUCAGUAACGAAGCUAACGCGUGAAGUUGACCGCCUGGGGAGUACGGCCGCAAGGUUG
Molecule: ribosomal RNA, 370 nt
Filed under: uncultured organism
Description: bacterial SSU rRNA
Rfam family: Bacterial small subunit ribosomal RNA
Source: RNAcentral